This is a long non-coding RNA of Arvicanthis niloticus (Nile rat), 1036 nucleotides long. RefSeq lists it as uncharacterized. The record is from RefSeq and is a predicted model, not a curated record. NCBI's taxonomy places the organism in Eukaryota, Metazoa, Chordata, Mammalia, Rodentia, Muridae.
AUUGAAGGUCCGGUAACCUUCCAUUGGUGUAGCUCUGAGACUCCAAGCCCUCGUUGGAGGAUGAAGACAGUCGGUCAUCCAGUCACAAAGGGCCUCCGGGAAGCUGGAAAAUGACCGGAAAGCCAAGAAAGCUCUAGCUGUUCAAACGUGAACGCCACUAGAAUAGCGACAAUGGGAAGUCCCACGGAGCUUUUGCGAAAAGGCGGACUGGGCAGUGCGCUCUUGGCCACGGAAGGUGGCGCUGCUGAGCCUGCGGGGACAGGCUCUCCCGGACCCAACCAUCCUGGCUAAAAAGAAACUUGCGGCUUCUACAGUGAAUUCCCGGGUGUGUCUCCUUUCUCGUCCACCGCAAAGGCGGGAAAUAAAGCCGGCCCCCGGGGACAAAGCGGCGCCUCCACCCACGCAGCUGCGGGGAGCCGGGAGGGGAGGGGAAGGAGGCGGAGGACGGUUGUCAUGGCGACGAGCCAGCAUCUGAAGCCACUGAAAGGACUCUUUGUUUUGAAGCCAGCUGACGGGUGGUGCGGUUUCUAAGGUGCAGGGGGAGGCGGGUCUCGCCAGAGUCACUCGGGUUGCGCUGCGGGGACCAUCGGCUCCCACGCAGGCCAGCCCUCCGAUGGCGCCGGACACCUGCUUCCUGUCCUCUCUGCUAGCAUCGACUUCACUAAGGACUGGGCGAGCAGGCUCAGGGAAGCCAAACAGACUCAGUUUUCUGGAAGAAAAACAGAAAGGGACCACCUUACAGAGACUAGAAUUGGCCAGCGCUGGUCUCUCCCUUGUGAGAACCAGUCCCUGGGGCGAGCUGGAGGUGUAGAGAUUUCCCGAGUACUCAAUAAUCAGUAUGUAUGGUAUGGGGUAGCGAGUGUGAGCUCUCGCGUCUGUAUUUGCAUUUCAGGAAGUGGUUGCUUAGGCAGCAGUGAGACUAGCGGUUGGGAAAUGAAAACUCUCGGAACAGCCUGUAGCUUUCAGUUUUGCCGUGUGUACUAUGCAUUAUCUGUAAAGCAAAAGCAAAAGUUUAAAGAAGGAACUUUUAAAAGUG